RNAcentral lists this long non-coding RNA (1619 nucleotides) under Gossypium barbadense (sea-island cotton). Its description in RNAcentral is "long non-coding RNA (GBAR_LNC004077)". The record is from RNAcentral. Lineage: Eukaryota; Viridiplantae; Streptophyta; Magnoliopsida; Malvales; Malvaceae.
CACACAUAAUAAAAACUUAAAAGCAUAUCAAAAAAGGAGAAAGUGAAAGAAAAGGGCGAGAGGGGAGCACAUGAUGAUUAGAGCAAAGCUAGCCGUGUGAUUAGGGAAGCAGCAACUGCAAGACAAGUGGAAGCGGUGGAAGGGUAAUACUUUGCUUAAUUUAUAUAAUUUUUUUAUUCAUUUUAAUUAUUUCUUAAUAUGAAUUCUACUGAUUUUAGCAUUUUAUUGGUAAUUUUCUAUGCAAGUAUAAUUUAUUGCCCAGUGCAUUGGAAACAAAUGAAGCUGUGAAUUAAAAUGAAGAUUUUAAGAUUCUUGGUCAUUAAAAUUAUUUUAGUUAGUAUUUUUAUUUACAAAAAUAUUUGUUUAAGGCUUUAAUUGAGAAUUAAAUUUAUCUUAAAGCACAAAAGAGCCUAUAUAUUUUAAUUUGGGUUUAUUAAUUUUUAAAUUAUUCUAGUUUAGAAAAUAAGAUUUAGUUGUCUUAUAACAUCAUUUAGCAUAAAAAAAUGAGAAUAGCCUCUUGAUUCGGUGUUAGAUGAUAUAUAAUUAGUGAGCCGGUACGAUCAGUAAUUAUUGUGUUUAGUCUAUUAAAGAAUAAAUUGACGCAACCAAUUAAAUGAAUGGUUGGAUCCGUCAAGCGAUUUAACGGUCAAGUUUAGACAACUCACUCAGUUGAGGUUGUUGAUUUAAGUCGGGUCCUUCUAAUUCGCAAGGCUGAUAAGGAAUUAAAUCGUGGAAGCUGAUUUCAAGGUUAUUUGCUUAGGAAGCAUUAGUUGUCGAGUUGUUCUCGCAAGUAAUUUACAAUCAAAAGAGUUAGUGGUUUGAGGUUAUUCCUAGAUCAUUAUAAUUGACUAAUUUGUUGGAUGAAAAAAUUUAUUGUCCAGAAUUUGUUUGAAGUUGAAAUUAAAUUCGUGUUUGAAGUUGGAACUUUGUUAUAUAAGUUUAUUCAAUUUCAAUUUUGCUUCUUUACUUUUACAAUGUUCAAUUAAUUUUUUAUAUUUAUCUUUAUUUAAAUUUUAAUUAUUUAUUUUAUAAUUAUAUUUAAUUUCUCUUUUAUUUUUGCAGAUUCGCAUAAAUUCUUGGUUAUAAAAAAUAAUAAAAUUAAUCAAUCUUUAUAGGAUCGAUACUAUUCAUCAUAUUAUAAAUUUAAUUAAAUUUUGUUUAAGUAUAAAAAUUUAUUUUUGAUUGAUUCCACACCAUUGAAGGGUGGGAGAAGCGGAGGAAGACGAAAGAGUAGAAGCAAAAGAAUGGAAAAAGAGAAAGGACAGCCGGGUUGAAACAGGAGUCGGAGAAAAAGUGAGGACUUGGGGAAGAGAAAGUCAAGGAUCGGGAGGCCGACAGUCAACCCUAAGGCUACCGCAUGGCAUUAAUGUUAAACAGUUCUCCUCCAAAUACCAAAAUGAAAGAGAAAAGUAUCUAUAGGAACCUCUUUUUUUUAUUAUUGGAAAAGAAACGUUUAUUUUGUCACACAUUUUGCCCUUCUUUUAUAAUAACCUUAAAUUUAUACCAGAGUACACUCUCUAACUAAUAAACAAAUGCCACGUGUAUUUUAAAUUAAAUAAAAAACUUAUUGCAUUAAUUAAAAAAAUUAAUAAACCUUAGCAUGAUGAAAACAAAAGAAA